This is a long non-coding RNA of Rhinolophus ferrumequinum (greater horseshoe bat), 888 nucleotides long. RefSeq lists it as uncharacterized. NCBI's taxonomy places the organism in Eukaryota, Metazoa, Chordata, Mammalia, Chiroptera, Rhinolophidae. The record is from RefSeq and is a predicted model, not a curated record. The transcript has 4 exons.
CCUCCUCCUCCUCCCCUUCCUCCGCCUCCUCCGGGAGCCCCGCGCACCGAGCCGGCCUUGCGGCGGAGCCUUUGCGCGCCUCUCUCCGCGGGCGUGCUGCGGUCCGGGGUUUGGGGCGCACCCGGGGAGCCGCUAGAGCGCAGCGUCCCGAGCGCCCGCUAGUACCGUGGCCACCGUGGCCGGCCUGGGAGCCCCGAAGGCGAGACCUCUCGGAGUUCUUUUAAUUGAGUGUCUCUUCAAGUUUUAUGCCUGAGCUGGAAUUCCUGCUAUGUGAUAUCUCAACACCUAUUACUAUGAAAGAUCUGCCUGGCCAGUUGAGAAAUCUGAGGCACAGAAGGUUGGGUGAUUUGCAAGGACUCAGAGCGAUGAGGAUGACGAUCAGGUUUAAAAACCAGUCCUAUUCUGCCUUGAGAACCUGUAUAUUUCACAGCCUCAUGCACUAAGUUUGGUAAUGGCACUCUUCUGGACUGCUGGGAAAAGCAAGUGUAAAAAAUUGAGAAGAGAGGACCCAAUCCUGCAAUAAGCAAGGAGGAGGAAUGUCCACUUACUGCAGUGCUACCCACCCCUCUAUCUUCUCUGUCUACCCAGCUUUCUGUUCUACUGCAUGGUUUUAAUAGUCUGAAGAUUCAUAGAUCUAAAUUGCAGACACUUUCGCCCUAAUUUCCAUGGCAUCUAUGUUAAGAAAUGCAAUUACAUUUAUUUUAAAAAUGAUGGUAUUAUUCAAAACAUUCUUAUAAUGUUUAUUUUGGAAUUGCCUUGUGUAGUCGCAUGAGAAAAUAGCCUCAUUAUUUAAUCACCAUAUCUGACUGAAUGUAUUAACUCAAAUAGAUUAUAUUCUUCAUUCACCAGACUUGACUCUAACUUACUUUUUAUAAUCUCUUUCAAAUU